Molecule: ribosomal RNA, 464 nt
Filed under: uncultured bacterium
Lineage: Bacteria
Description: partial 16S ribosomal RNA
Rfam family: Bacterial small subunit ribosomal RNA
Source: RNAcentral
CUACGGGUGGCACCAGUGGGGAAUAUUGGACAAUGGGGGAAACCCUGAUCCAGCAAUGCCGCGUGUGUGAAGAAGGCCUGCGGGUUGUAAAGCACUUUCGGUUGGGAGGACUGCUUCUAGCACUAAUAUUGUUGGAAGUUGACGUUACCUUCAGAAGAAGCACCGGCUAACUCCGUGCCAGCAGCCGCGGUAAUACGGAGGGUGCAGGCGUUAUCUGAAUUACUGGGCGUAAAGCGCACGUAGGCGGCUAGAUCAGUCGGGUGUGAAAGCCCCGGGCUUAACCUGGGAACUGCAUCCGAUACUGUCUAGCUUGAGUACAGGAGAGGAGAGUGGAAUUCCACAUGUAGCGGUGAAAUGCGUAGAUAUGUGGAGGAACACCAAUGGCGAAGGCAGCUCUCUGGCCUGAUACUGACGCUGAGGUGCGAAAGCGUGGGGAGCAAACAGGAUUAGAUACCCUCGUAGUC